RNAcentral lists this ribosomal RNA (253 nucleotides) under uncultured bacterium. RNAcentral describes it as "partial 16S ribosomal RNA". It matches the Rfam family "Bacterial small subunit ribosomal RNA", at positions 524 to 776 of the family's 1533-position model. The record is from RNAcentral.
UACGUAGGGGGCUAGCGUUGUCCGGAUUUAUUGGGCGUAAAGAGCGUGUAGGCGGCUCGAUAAGUCCGCUGUGAAAGUCCAGGGCUCAACCCUGGAAGGCCGGUGGAAACUGUCGGGCUAGAGUCCGGAAGAGGCGAGUGGAAUUCCCGGUGUAGCGGUGAAAUGCGCAGAUAUCGGGAGGAACACCAAUGGCGAAGGCAGCUCGCUGGGACGGUACUGACGCUGAGACGCGAAAGCGUGGGGAGCAAACAGG